RNAcentral lists this ribosomal RNA (303 nucleotides) under uncultured bacterium. Its description in RNAcentral is "partial 16S ribosomal RNA". It matches the Rfam family "Bacterial small subunit ribosomal RNA", at positions 507 to 807 of the family's 1533-position model. The record is from RNAcentral.
AGCAGCCGCCGCGGGAAUACGUAGGUGGCAAGCGUUGUCCGGAAUUAUUGGGCGUAAAGGGCUCGCAGGCGGUUUCUUAAGUCUGAUGUGAAAGCCCCCGGCUCAACCGGGGAGGGUCAUUGGAAACUGGGAAACUUGAGUGCAGAAGAGGAGAGUGGAAUUCCACGUGUAGCGGUGAAAUGCGUAGAGAUGUGGAGGAACACCAGUGGCGAAGGCGACUCCCUGGUCUGUAACUGACGCUGAGGAGCGAAAGCGUGGGGAGCGAACAGGAUUAGAUACCCCUGUAGUCCCUGUCUCUUAUAC